UAUUUAUACGGAUUCAAGUAACCUUACCCUAAGAUAAAAUAAAGAAUUAACACUUUAUUGCAAAUUGAGUAGUGCUAUAAAUUUUAAAUUUUUUAUCCCAAAAAAAUUUUCAAGAUAAAGGAACCGGCAAACCGCUUUCCUGGUUGGGAUUUUCAUUGGCAAUAAAGGGUAGGCAGGACUGAGGAGGAAUGGAUUUAAUGGAAAAUUGGGAAAUGUGCUACUGCGGGCUGCCACUAACCACUAGGCCUGCAUCAUUUGAGUCCAUCAACAAUUUCAUAAAUUAAAAUCUGAGUUGGACUAUUGGCACCCUUCCAAAAUUCUUUUAAAACCCUUCCUCUGUUACAAUUACAUUUAAAGACAAAUACUUUAAUAUAUCUCACAUUUAUUUAUCUCACUUCAAACUUUUGUAUUUUCUCUCUUAAAAAAAAAAAUUCUUGUACU
RNAcentral lists this long non-coding RNA (441 nucleotides) under Citrus x clementina. RNAcentral's name for it is "Citrus clementina (C. clementina) long non-coding RNA (CCLE_LNC001974)". The record is from RNAcentral. Lineage: Eukaryota; Viridiplantae; Streptophyta; Magnoliopsida; Sapindales; Rutaceae.